Non-coding RNA from Danio rerio (zebrafish), 1654 nucleotides. Lineage: Eukaryota; Metazoa; Chordata; Actinopteri; Cypriniformes; Danionidae. The record is from RefSeq and is a predicted model, not a curated record.
UUUUCAGCAGGGUUGGUUUGCAGAACUUGAUGUGGCCCACGGGUCUAAAAAGUUGGCCCACCAAUGCUCUAGAUCCUGCAUGGAGGAAUAUUGUUGCAACCUUUCCAUACUGCAUCCAUCCCCUCUCUCCCUUUCACGUCACAGAACUAUGAUUAUCUCUGCAAACAUAGAGAGAUCAGGCACAAAUUUGGCCUGCAUUUUUGUUGAAAGGCCUCUGUAAAAUGUAGGUUUAAAUAAAGGAUAUUUACUUAAAUAUUAUUUUUAUUACGAUACUCUUUAUACGUUUGGCUUUAAUAGUGCUUUAACUUAAUUGUUUUUACUUGUAAAAACUUUUUGAAGUGUAAAGAAGUCUAUCAAUCAAAGGUAUGACUGUUUCGCAAAACAAUAUUAAUGGCGUCUAUUCCUCAGACUAACAUUGUGUGGGAGGAGAAUUUACAGUAUGAGUUUCGUUUCUUAGGAACAGGUGAUCAUUACACAUUCACCUGUGCUGUACGAGCAUCACAAUCGUCUUCAAAAUGUGGAUUCUCCUCUUAUGGAUCUUGGUCAUCUGGAUUAUUUUUGCGGUGGACGGGAAAACUGUUAGCCAGUGUGGUCUGGUUCUUCAAACGGUGAGGACAGCGGUGUGUCAGCUUUACCUGGCGCUCUUAUACCUGCGUCAUGCCGCAAAACACUUUUUUACUGCUGACGGUUUUUUAAAACAGCUCGAUUACCCUGAGUGUGACUUGAGUUUCUAUACAGCAAUACCAAAAGAUUAUUUCAGGGCGUGUUGGAGAAAAGCCGCCGUGUGUUUGCUGGAGUCGGCGUGUUUGUUUAUGGAGUGUCUCUGUCAGUGUUUGGCGGUGGUUUCUUCUGUGUUUGUGGCUGUGCGGCUCGUCCUGCAGGCGGCGCUGUUUCUCAGUAUUUCCACUGUGCGCUGGAUGCAAACCAUACUGCUUCAUGAUAAACUCGAGCUGGAGGAGUGGGAGAAACAGCAGAAGAAGGAGACAAAAAUAAUACAGGAGCAAAUAAGUCAUGUGGAGAAAUACAUCAACAAUUCUGAUCUUUUAUUUUUGCGCGAAAAGACAAGAGCAUAAUCAGGCUGCCUGCCAAUUACAGGGGGGUUGCGGGGGAUUGACACCUUAAUAACGCUUGAUCCAUCCUGAAGGACGUCAAAACAAGAUGAUACAGGGCCAGCCUUUUAAUAGUGAGAAGUAGUUUGAUCUGUAUUUUUAACGAUGUUAACAAUUAAAAUAACCAAAAAUAUAAAUACACAUAAUAUAUAAAAUAAAUACCCCCCCCCCCCCCCCCCCACACACACACACACAGAAUGGUUCAUACCAUUGUGAACGCAUAAUGACGCCAAUCAGAUCGCCAUUGCUAGAAAAUACGUUCAACAGUGUGAAACAGGCAGAUAGACUUCGUAAGUGUCUGUCAACAAUGCACUUAUCAUAAAAUAGUUGUUUGUCCCUGCUGAAAAAACAGGCUGGCUAUGCUGGUUGUCUGGUAGAGGGGUUUUGGCCAUUUUCAGCCUGGUCUUAGCUGAGAAAUGACCAGCUAAAACUAUCUUGGCCAGGCUGAGAGGCCAGCUAUGACCAGCUUAAUCCAGGCUGGGCAAACUGGUUAUUUUAGCUGAUCAUUUUCCAGUCUUACCAGCUAAGACCAGCCUUGAAAUGGC